GAAAUGCGAUAAGUAAUGUGAAUUGCAGAAUUCAGUGAAUCAUCGAAUCUUUGAACGCACCUUGCGCUCCUUGGUAUUCCGAGGAGCAUGCCUGUUUGAGUGUCAUUAAUAUAUCAACCUCUUCAGCUUUUGCUUGUUGAGUGUUGGAUGUGGGGGUCCUUUUGCUGGUCUUUUCAAAAGGUCAGCUCCCCUAAAAUGUAUUAGCGGAACAAUUUGUUGACCGUUCAUUGGUGUGAUAAUUAUCUACGCUAUUGACGUGAGGCAGUUCAGCUUCUAACAGUCCAUUGACUUGGACAGCUUUUUAUUAAUGUGACCUCAAAUCAGGUAGGACUACCCGCUGAACUUAA
RNAcentral lists this unclassified non-coding RNA (347 nucleotides) under uncultured Cortinarius. RNAcentral describes it as "sequence contains ITS1". The stretch from base 1 to 105 matches the Rfam family "5.8S ribosomal RNA", at positions 50 to 154 of the family's 154-position model. The record is from RNAcentral. Lineage: Eukaryota; Fungi; Basidiomycota; Agaricomycetes; Agaricales; Cortinariaceae.